Non-coding RNA from Gadus macrocephalus (Pacific cod), 1596 nucleotides. NCBI's taxonomy places the organism in Eukaryota, Metazoa, Chordata, Actinopteri, Gadiformes, Gadidae. The record is from the annotation of a RefSeq genome assembly.
AGCCUACAUCUUUUUGAUCUGGAGUUAGACUAGCAAUGUCUUUGCCAGAUAUAGAUUAAAAUGUGUAUCGCUGGAGGGCAGAGGCUACCGCUGGUGCGUUACAUGCUUGUUCAGCCUUUGCAAUACAUAGGCCUACUGCAUAGUUACUUUGCUUACCCGACGGUUGGUCCUCAACUCUACUUUACUAGUACUAUUACUUCUACUACUGCUACGACUACUUCUACUUUACUAAUGACUUUUAUUUAUCUCAUCUCUGCUGGAUAUUUUUCCCUCCCUCUUUCUCCAUGUAUUAUUUACUGCUCACAAAGAAGCUAUAUGUCAUGCUAUGUUGACAUUUUAUGCACAAUUGUUUAAUUGGACAAGCAAGUCCGAUCGUCCAAACAGUUUUUAACAUUUUCAGUCACUGAAUACAGUGUAUUCAUUGUAUUUAUUGUCCUCUGUAUCGUCCACAUAUCGAUCAUGUUAUACUGUUUUACAGUGGUGGUGGUGGUUCAUAAGUUGCCAGCUCUGAGUAUCUUGAUCUCUGAGACUGAAGGCAGCCAGGUUGUUUCCUUCGGCUGCUUUGCCGCAGAUUUUUCACCAAAGGAUUAUACGAUCACAUGGUUGAGAAACGGCAAGAAAAUCGAUCCAUCUGAAAGCAGCACUUCUUCUGAGGGUCAAAAUAACGAGACUGCGACUUUCUACAAUGCAGCAAGCUAUAUCCAGGUGAAGGAAAAUCACUGGAAGGAUGAUGGAACUAAUAUCACAUGUAGGUUUGCAAGUAGUAAAGAGCAAGUGGAUGCUCAUCUGACCUAUGGCGGGGGAUGUGUCGAACCAACGUCAACAAAAUUGGAAAUCGAUAUCUUGCCAAUCUCACUUGAGACGAUGUAUUUGGAAAAUAAUGCUGACCUUGUUUGCAAGGUCCACAGUAGUGAUCCCGUGGAAGUUAAAUGGUUUAAUGAAAGUGGUGAGGUGUUAUCCACUCCGAAGAGUCCAAGUUCAAAUACGUACAUUGCCACAGCCAGGAUAACGUACGAUGAAUGGAGCAAAGGAAUGAGUUGGUACUGUGAGGCUUCGAUUAAAGAUUCAAUAGAGGUUCCAACGAGAAAAGACUUUGUGAAGAAUAAUGGACGAAAUAGAGUUCCUCCAUCCGUUUAUCUGCUCCCUCCAGUAGAUGAUUUAAGUUGCACGAACAUGACCCUGACUUGCUUUGUGAAAGACUUCUACCCCGCGGACAUUUUGGUGCAUUGGCUGGUUGAUAAUUUGACAAUAGAUGGAAGUGCUCUUUAUUCACACAAAACAACAAACGUUAUUGAAAACGGUGACUUGUUUUCCACUUAUGGCCAACUUACCUUUAGCUCUGAUGGUUGGAAAGACGGCAGAGUGUUUAGAUGCGAAGUCUACCACAUGUCUAUGGAUUCCAAAAACCAACCCAUUGUCAAGUUAAUUACUGAAAAGUCAUCAGGCAAUGUUAACAUUAUCAACAUGAACCUGGGUCCUUCUACGUGCUUGCCCCAGUAGAUGUUGUUUUUCUGUGUGUGAUGUAAUGCUGCAUGUUUGUUUUUUUAAAAUGCUGAUUCAAAAUCAAAAUAAUAAAAAAAAACAUUGAACUUUAAA